This 895-nucleotide long non-coding RNA is filed under the name Cicer arietinum (chickpea). Its description in RNAcentral is "long non-coding RNA (CARI_LNC002831)". Lineage: Eukaryota; Viridiplantae; Streptophyta; Magnoliopsida; Fabales; Fabaceae. The record is from RNAcentral.
UCUCUAGUUCAAGAGUAAAUUUUCACAAGAUUCAUCUUAUUGGCAUAAAUGAUUGUAGAGAACGGUUAAGUGAGGCGACAAAGGUGUUAAAUUGUAAAGUGUGGGAUAUUCCUUUUGUGUAUUUAAAUUUACAACAACCCUUGAAAAUGAAAAACUUGGGAGCGCGUUGUGAAUAAUGUGAGAAAUAGAUUUUAUCAUUUUGGUUGAGAAACAAUUUAUUGAUGGGAGGUUGUAUUGUUUUAGUCUUUUUGAAACUAGUGGAAAUAUUACUACAUCACACCCUUUUGUCCAAAAAAGUUAAAUCACACCCAUUUCUUAGUUCUCCGUCAUAACUCAUUUUGAUGGCAAGACAUUUAUUCCCUCUCCUCCCCAAAAGCUUGAAGACUUCUCAUGUUUCAUUAAUGGUUUCAUCUUCCAUUUUUCUCAUCAAAAUCUUGUCAUCCUUAUGAUGAGAUAUGAUUUGUGCUACCAACAUAGAAGUUGAUCUAUUUGUUUUGUAUAUGGUAAAUUUAUUGUUGUGAAGUUUGGUCGAUUUUUGUGGAAGGUUCAAUUAUGUUGGAAUUUUGUUGAAUUUUUGAUGAUUUUUUAUCAUCUUAUUUGUUUAUUGUUCAUUCAGUAUUGGAUUUCUUGAUUUUAUUGAAAAUUUAAUCUAUGUUGAUUGUUUUUUAAGAUUUGUAUUUGACAUUUAUAGAUUUGCUUGCUUCAAGACCGCAAUAAACCGACCGUAUGAUGUUCACCACCAAAACUGCCACCUGAACAAACUUUUGUCUCAAACGAAAGGUGAUGGUCCUCUAUAUGUCACCUGCAGUUUGUUGUGAGUUGAGUGUCUGAGCCUGUAAUCGAUCAAUUGUCAACCCCUAUAUGUGACACAAUGUGAUUGAAUAAUGAUGGUGAU